AAGCUUUUGUCGGACUUGUUGCUAAGACAACGAGCCAGUAAUCUCCAAACCUACUCAGGAGCAGUUUUGUUCAACGUAAACAAGAUUAGGAAAUACAUUUAGGUGCAUUAUAUACCGUGUUUUUUGUUUUGUUUGGAUUUAUAAUUAAGGCGCUUGCCAGACGCCAUUAUCCAGAGCGACUUCCAUUUAUCUCAUUUAUACAACUGAGGGUUAAGGGCCUUGCUCAAGGGCCCAACAGUGGACGCUUGGCAGUGCUGGGAUUUGAACCCACGACCUUCUGAUCAUUAAGCAAAUAUAGCGAAGGUUUAAUAAUAUAAUUGCGCACAUCGCUGUUCAGACCUCAGACAUAACGCCUGACUUGAGCACUAUUCAGACGUUGAGCAAGAGUUAUGCGCACAGGGUGGAGUUUCAGCAAACAGACGGGUUUUUACUCUGACCUUGGUUCUGACCUUGGACUCGGUCCCAUUUCUCUUACGUGAUAUCGGAUCAGAUCCAAUGCCACUGUCUGACAGUUUGAUGUAACCGCGAUAUGUCAGAGAAAUCUAUGGCAUGACAUUUGAGGCCAAAAUGAAAUGCAUAUCAUGGUUCUGUUAUAAUUAUUUAAUGAAUUGAUUAUUGGUAUCAUCCAUAAAGUGCAUUGUUGUUGUUGUUUUUUUUUUUUCCAACAUGGAGGACACUCUUCAUCGCUGCUUGUCUCAAGGACAGAAAUUUUUAAGGAUAAAAUUAUGAGCAAAUAUAUUAAAUGAGCUGAAAGCAUGCUGUAGCGGAUGAGUGUUUAUCCGCGGUCGGCUUAUCCUUCAUAUCGUGUUUUCUUCACAGGACAGUGAAUCAAUUCAAAUCAAUUUUAUUUGCAUAGCGCUUUUAACAAUAGACAUAAUCCUAAUCAGCGCAGUUUGUAAUCGCAUAUCGGCUCUCAAAAUGUCUGCGGUGCUCCUGCAGAAUUGAAUCGUUUUUUGUUUUUUUUAAAUGCGAGGACGUGUACGGCUUGCAAGUGUCGUGACGGAAAGAUGCGAGGAUGCGAGUUCUGCAGAUAUCUGUGGAGCACAAAUAAGG
Long non-coding RNA from Ictalurus punctatus (channel catfish), 1053 nucleotides. NCBI's taxonomy places the organism in Eukaryota, Metazoa, Chordata, Actinopteri, Siluriformes, Ictaluridae. The record is from Ensembl.